GACGGAGGGUGCAAGCGUUGUUCGGAUUGACUGGGCGUAAAGGGCGUGUAGGCGGUCGGCCAAGUCUGAUGUGAAAGCCCGAGGCUCAGCCUCGGAAGUGCGUCGGAAACUAGUCGGCUGGAGCGCGAUAGAGGAGGGUGGAAUUCCUGGUGUAGCGGUGAAAUGCGUAGAUAUCGGGAGGAACACCUGUGGCGAAAGCGGCGCACUGGACCAUAACUGACGCUGAUGCGCGAAAGCUAGGGGAGCAAACAGG
This 253-nucleotide ribosomal RNA is filed under the name uncultured bacterium. RNAcentral describes it as "partial 16S ribosomal RNA". It matches the Rfam family "Bacterial small subunit ribosomal RNA", at positions 524 to 776 of the family's 1533-position model. The record is from RNAcentral.